AUGAAUGCCUGUUGUAUAAGAUGCACUCUUGUUCGCCUCAAGUCCGAAUUGUCGGUGCACAUUGCUCCUCUUUUGCCUUUUCACCAACAUGUGGGAACCCAGUAUCCGGGAGCACCCCACCAUCCUUGCAUGACACGCUCCCUUCACUUUUCGUUUUGCACCGGUAUCUCCCUGAACUACCGGAAUCGGAAUGUUGCUGUGGCACCGUUUCAUUAUCGUUGCUGUGGCACCCCUUUCGUUUCCGCCACGAUGACAAAAUGCUUCAUAUCAUGUUCAUAUCAACAUUUUUCAAAAAACCUGCAUAAACUUGCACAUGUCAUUCGCAUCAUGAUAAUAACCUUUAAAUGUUUAAAUUUGUUGUUGCACCAAAUUGAUAAAUGCAUAUGA
This 387-nucleotide ribosomal RNA is filed under the name Triticum aestivum (bread wheat). RNAcentral's name for it is "partial small subunit ribosomal RNA". The record is from RNAcentral. Lineage: Eukaryota; Viridiplantae; Streptophyta; Magnoliopsida; Poales; Poaceae.